UUUUUACCAAUGAUACGUGGCCAUACAGUCACAUGACCAGUUUGAAACCGUGGCGGGCAGAGCGGCCCAAGCAUUUCAAAGUAGCGGACACACGGAAAGAAGAAAUAUGAUGGCAGAGUCUACGCUGGAGCUGAAGAGGCUGAACACCUUUGGCCUCACAUACAAAGAAUGUUUCGCUUAAAAGCAGCACAAAAGAACAGCUGUCUCUGCAGUGUCGGUGUCUUCAGGGAGAGCCAAAACAAACCAACUUUUCAGCGUGAAACCACUGAGGAAACGGUCUCCUCUUCAUCAGACAUCACCUAGACCCCGAGCUGGGUGAGGCCAGCACAAACAGCGGCCUAUUCGAUGAAGAUGAUGGAUCCAUGGGGUCAGGAAAGCCAGUAGCAGAGGAACUGGAGAGGUACCUUUCAUGUCACUUCACUGGAGGUGUGGAGCUAUUGCAUGGCUUUCCUCACAUCAAGAAGCUGUCGAUCAAAGUUAAUACAGCUCUUCCUGCAUCUGCAGCCUGUGAGAGACUUUUUAGUCAUGCAGGACUCCUGUUCACUGCCAAAUGGUCACAGCUUCACAGCAAGAACCUUGAGAGCCAACUGCUGCUGAAGCACCAUUUCACUGACUGAAGAAACAAUUUAUGGUAAAGUGAGCCAUACACAUAUGUACAUCCACAUAGUGGGAAUUUGUAUUUGUCUUUUAUAAUUAGUUUUACUCUGAUUUCAGUGUUUAUUUGUGAGUGUAGUUUUUACAUAUUACAUUGUGUUAAUCCACUGUCUAUACUUCAGGGUAUUUUAGUAUACAAAAUAAGUUUUGUUAGAAUGCCUAUUCCUGUGGAAUUUUAGCACAGGUGUGUUGUUUUUUUGUUUUUUUUUUAUUCCUGCUGUCCGCCUUGGGAAUAAACUUUUCCUGAUUAUA
Long non-coding RNA from Oreochromis aureus, 906 nucleotides. RefSeq lists it as uncharacterized. NCBI's taxonomy places the organism in Eukaryota, Metazoa, Chordata, Actinopteri, Cichliformes, Cichlidae. The record is from RefSeq and is a predicted model, not a curated record. The transcript has 2 exons.